This 558-nucleotide ribosomal RNA is filed under the name Clostridioides difficile. RNAcentral describes it as "bacterial LSU rRNA". It matches the Rfam family "Bacterial large subunit ribosomal RNA", at positions 1455 to 2023 of the family's 2925-position model. The record is from RNAcentral. Lineage: Bacteria; Bacillati; Bacillota; Clostridia; Peptostreptococcales; Peptostreptococcaceae.
GUUUGAGAGAAGGGAUGACACAGUAGGAUAAGCUAAGCACACUGUUGGUUAUGUGUGCCCAAGCAUUGAGGCAGACAAAGCAGGCAAAUCCGCUUUGAUAAUGCUGGGAUGUGAUGGGGAGCGAAAUUUCGUAGCGAAGUAGCUGAUUUGACACUGUCAAGAAAAGUCUCUAUCGAGGGUAAAGGUACCCGUACCGCAAACCGACACAGGUGGGUGAGGAGAGUAUCCUAAGGCCAGCGAGAGAACUGUUGUUAAGGAACUCGGCAAAAUGACCCCGUAACUUAGGGAUAAGGGGUGCCACCAUCAGGUGGCCGCAGAGAAUAGGCCCAAGCGACUGUUUACCAAAAACAUAGGUUUCUGCUAAGUCGCAAGACGAUGUAUAGGAGCUGACGCCUGCCCGGUGCUGGAAGGUUAAGGGGAUCUGUUAGAGUAAUCGAAGCAGUGAACUUAAGCCCCAGUAAACGGCGGCCGUAACUAUAACGGUCCUAAGGUAGCGAAAUUCCUUGUCGGGUAAGUUCCGACCCGCACGAAAGGCGUAACGAUUUGGGCACUGUCUCA